This 465-nucleotide ribosomal RNA is filed under the name uncultured bacterium. Its description in RNAcentral is "partial 16S ribosomal RNA". It matches the Rfam family "Bacterial small subunit ribosomal RNA", at positions 28 to 507 of the family's 1533-position model. The record is from RNAcentral.
GAUGAACGCUGGCGGCGUGCUUAACACAUGCAAGUCGAACGGAAAGGCUCCUGCUUGCAGGGGUACUCGAGUGGCGAACGGGUGAGUAACACGUGGGUGAUCUGCCCUGCACUUCGGGAUAAGCCUGGGAAACUGGGUCUAAUACCGGAUAGGACGAUGGUUUGGAUGCCAUUGUGGAAAGUUUUUUCGGUGUGGGAUGAGCUCGCGGCCUAUCAGCUUGUUGGUGGGGUAAUGGCCUACCAAGGCGUCGACGGGUAGCCGGCCUGAGAGGGUGUACGGCCACAUUGGGACUGAGAUACGGCCCAGACUCCUACGGGAGGCAGCAGUGGGGAAUAUUGCACAAUGGGCGCAAGCCUGAUGCAGCGACGCCGCGUGGGGAUGACGGCCUUCGGGUUGUAAACUCCUUUCGCUAGGGACGAAGCGCAAGUGACGGUACCUGGAGAAGAAGCACCGGCUAACUACGUG